Molecule: non-coding RNA, 45 nt
Filed under: Schistosoma mansoni
Lineage: Eukaryota; Metazoa; Platyhelminthes; Trematoda; Strigeidida; Schistosomatidae
Source: RNAcentral
AUUCAGCUGACGAGUCUCAAAUAGGACGAAACGCGUUUCCUGGAU